UACGAAGGGGGCUAGCGUUGCUCGGAAUUACUGGGCGUAAAGCGCACGUAGGCGGUUUCUUAAGUCGGGGGUGAAAUCCUGGAGCUCAACUCCAGAACUGCCUUCGAUACUGGGAAACUUGAGUUCGGGAGAGGUGAGUGGAACUGCGAGUGUAGAGGUGAAAUUCGUAGAUAUUCGCAAGAACACCAGUGGCGAAGGCGGCUCACUGGCCCGAUACUGACGCUGAGGUGCGAAAGCGUGGGGAGCAAACAGG
RNAcentral lists this ribosomal RNA (253 nucleotides) under uncultured bacterium. RNAcentral's name for it is "partial 16S ribosomal RNA". It matches the Rfam family "Bacterial small subunit ribosomal RNA", at positions 524 to 776 of the family's 1533-position model. The record is from RNAcentral.